CAAAAACAUAGCCCCAGAAAAUAUCUGAGGUGUAACCUGCCCAGUGGUUUUUAAUAGUAUAUGGUAAUGACAUAUAAAUAAAACUAAAAGGACGCGGUAACCUUGACCGUGAUAAUGUAGCAUAAUCACUCGCCAUUUAAUUGAUGGAUAGUAUGAAUGGUUGAACGAAUAUUCCACUGUCUUAGAAGGAAUCAAAAAAAAUUGAAAUAAUAGUUAAGAUGCUAUUUUAGAUUGUAAGACGAAAAGACCCUAUAGAGCUUAACUAUAAGUUCUCUAGUUAUAAUGAAAAUAAAAUUUCUAAACUAGAGAACUAGGUAGUUUAGUUGGGGCGACUAUUUUCUAAAAAAAACGAAAACAAGCAAUGUCAAUAAAAAAUUUAUUGUAUAACCAAAUAGUUUAACAAUUACUAAAGUAGGCUAUAGUGACCCGUUAAAGUUUUAAAAUUAAAUUUAACGAUUAAUUGAUAAAAGCUACCUUAGGGAUAACAGGAUAAUUUUAUUUUAGAGCUCCUAUCGAAAAUAAAGUUUGUCACCUCUAUGUUGAAUUAAGAUAUCCUGAUAAUGCAGCAGUUAUCAAAGGUAGGUCUGUUCGACCUUUAAAAUCUUACAUGAUUUG
Molecule: ribosomal RNA, 615 nt
Filed under: Eugymnanthea japonica
Lineage: Eukaryota; Metazoa; Cnidaria; Hydrozoa; Leptothecata; Eirenidae
Description: partial 16S ribosomal RNA
Rfam family: Bacterial large subunit ribosomal RNA
Source: RNAcentral